UGACGCAUUCAAACACUGAAGCGGAGGGAGUUGCCAUGGAAACGGGGCGGCCACACAACGACUGACAAGCACGAAACUCCGUCUGUCGCUGCUGUUUCCAUUGCUUUCGGUGUUUUAAUGCGUGCGCGCUGAACAUUGACACAUUCAAACACUGAAGUGGAGGGAGUUGUCAUGGAAACUCAAUGACUGACAAGCUGCUUUCCGUAAGUUUAGUCCCUAAAAUCGCACAAAUAUUACAAAUAGCUGUUCCUGACACAUGUCUUGCUUGUAUUUGGCUUCUGCUGAAUAUAGUUCAUUGAGAUGGUGUAGUGUCUUCGAACAAGUCCGUUAGCAUCUUAACCGGUUUCAGAGGAGGUAGGCUAAUAGACUUAGCUUUUCAUGAAAGUUUUGUAUUUUAAUCACAUCUGUAUGUGUAGACAAGACGUUUUGACUCGUCUGUAAUAGUUUUGCUGGUAAUUUUUCAAUGGGUGAUUAGAAAUAGGCUCAGACAACCGAAACAUAUACACGGUACCGUUCAUCGGUGACGUCACUGACGUAACUGAAUCCAGUUCAAACGCAUUUUGAUCACUCAUGGUAAACAAAUGUUGAUAAAAACUCUUCUGUAAUUUCAGGAGCAAAUAAAAAAAAAUCCUGAUGGACGCCACAGACGGAGAAGUAAGGGAUACAGAUGAACUAGGAAAGCCUUUUAAAUUGUAGGGCUUUGACAUCCAGAAGUAAGAAGUAUGAACAAUAUUAAAUUAAUAAGUAAACCUAGAAGCAAAUUAUGUUCUGUAUAUUUAUAUAUUCUUCUUUCUCUUUUCUACAUUUCACCUGUGCUCUAGCAUGGUUUCUAGUAAUAAACCUGGCAUUGUAUACAAAAUAUUGUUGGCUCUGUGACAAAUUGCUUCUUAUGUUCCUAGAUUCUUCCAUGAUGAUGGCCUGCACCCCAGAGCUGGAGUGAACCUCCUGUCGGACAACAUCUCCAAGGCACAGUAAACCAUAUGGCUGUCCUGUUCUUGGAGAUCUACCUUCCUGCAAACUUCAGCUCCUCGGGAUCAGUUGACAUUUACAGACGGGUGUGUUAAAUCAGGGUUAGAUCAGAAUUCUGCAAGUAGGUGGAUUUCCAGGCAAAGGAAUUGGCAGUCAUGUUAUAUUGGUUAUGUAUGAUGGAUUUUGAACUGUACUAUUUUUAUUGCAGGUUUUAUUGGGAUCCCAGUAGAAGACAUCAGAACACCAGAUGCUGGCCUGGACAGAUGUACCUACAGUAAACCACACCAAUCUCUCUGCUUUUGCAUAGAUGGCUGACUACUACCAUAUUCUAUGAAGGUAUUAUUAUAGUAAAACUGAGCACCUGUGACAGUGGAAUUUGUAGUUAUAAAGAAUAGUCACACAUGCGUAUCAGUACAUUUGAAGCAACAGAGAAUAUUUUUUAGGAGUUGCACUUUUUUUGUACUCUCUCUCUUACAAAAAUAAAACAACAGUUAUACCAUUUGAAAUUCUCAGGUGCACAAAUCCUAUUCUGCAAUUCACAAAUUACAAAAUGUAUAUGCUCACAGUUAGGCUAAAGUUGCUGCAGUGAAUGAGGGGCAAAACACUCGCAGUUGAAUAAAAAAAUCUCAAGUCAUAAACAAAUUUUGCACAUUUGUAUGUACAGUUGUAGUCAGAAUUAUUGGCACCGUUGGUAAAUAUGAAGCCUGUGAAAAUAAAACUGCAUUGUUAAUCCAUUUUGAUAAAAGAUCAUCCUUGCCUUGCAUUUAAAAACUAUAGAAACACAUCUUCAAGGCAGAUUUGUGACAUUUUAAACUAUACAGAUUUAUUUUUACAGGCUUCUUUGAUCAUAUUUACUAAGGGUGCUAAAAAUUCUGACCAAGACCGUAAAUGAGAACUGAUAUCUCACAUGACAAAUCAGUAUGUGACAUCCCACUCACACACUUGCGCUUUAUCCAGUGAUAAACAUAUCAUGUACCCUUUGACCCACUACUACUAGCACAAUACACACAGCAAGUUUUUAUUUAUUUUAAUGAUUUGGAUCACACAGAAUAGAACAGAAUACAGUGGGUAAAUGCUAGACUCUGUUAAAUUCUAAUAAAGUCUGUAAAUAUGUAUAGUUCUAAUUAACACACAUUUCAGGAAAAAAAAUAAAAAAUUAAUUAUAUAAUGAAAUUAAUAUUACAGAAUAUUCUGGAAAAAUUAAAUAUAGCCCUGCAUAAAUCUGGUUUAACUGGGCCUGUGAAUUUCUUAAUUUGUGAUUUGUGGAACAGGAUUUUUGCACCUGCAUUUUGAGAAGGUUUUGUUGUGUUUGUGAGAGAAAGAAACAAAAUAAAAGUUUGCAACACCUAAAACAUUUUCUUGAUGACUUCACUGAUAUGUUCUCUACAAAUACAAAUUCCACUGUCACAGGUGUUCAGUUUGGCUACAAAAAUACCACAUACAAUAGAUUCACUGUAUGCAAAUAUAACAAAGGGACAUAAACAAUUGAAAAUUUAGGGAUGUAAGCUAUAAUCCUAAACUUUUAUUUAGGAUUAUAAAUCUAAAAGAAGGGAGUGAAAAUUGUGUCUAUGACUGAUAUUAAAAUGGUGGGUUACAUCAUCAUCUUUUUUAAACCUGACCUGAUUAGUUCUCACCUGAUAUCACAAGGAAAACUGACUGAUCUGCUAUGUACCUCUGUCUUGUGUUUUCAAGGGUAAGAAUUCUUUAUAAAUACUCUUUUUACCCAUAUGUCUUUAUUUUGUGGAACACAAAAAGAGAGAGUGGCUUAGUCUCUGUAAUUUUAUAGAAAAGCAGCAAUGACAAUGAAUGGUGACUGAGGCUGUCAGUCUCUUAAUGUUCUGCCUUACAUCUCCUUUGUGCCCCACUGAAAAUAAGUCAAAUACAUUUGGUACAAAAUAACAUGACAUUUUUAUUCUGAAGUGAUUAUAGCAUUUAAUUUGUAACUUGACACUUUUUUAUUGGUCUAUAAUUUACUUUCUUUGUGUGUUUAAUUUAUU
Long non-coding RNA from Labeo rohita (rohu), 2966 nucleotides. RefSeq lists it as uncharacterized. The record is from RefSeq and is a predicted model, not a curated record. The transcript has 3 exons. NCBI's taxonomy places the organism in Eukaryota, Metazoa, Chordata, Actinopteri, Cypriniformes, Cyprinidae.